AGAGAGCAGAAAUUCAAGCGUUAGAAAUUACAGAUAAUUUGAGAUCAGAGAUGUAUACAUCUUCUUCUUAAUAAUAAGUGUCGACUGGCUUCCUCUGAUUCCCAGGCCACAGGGUCAAAAAUAUUGCUCCCAACAAUUCCAAGCUUAUAUAUUAAUGUUCCAGCCACCCCAGCAACAGAAUGAGUCAACGCUGCAUUCCAAUUCCAACUCCACCAGUCCCCCAGAUCAGUAGACAAGGGUCCCAUUUUGGUUUUAUGUGAAGACAGAAGAAAUUUCAGAUUCAAUGCACCGUGGUCUGAAUUCCACGGAAACAGCUCGAUGAACUCCACCUGAGGUGUUUCUGCUUGUGAUCCUAAUUACAAAUGGAGAAGGAGCAGUUUAAACGCUUCACCCUGCAGGAUGUCAAUAAUAGCCUGUGUGCAAUUAUCUAAUUGUUCUUGCCCCAGCCUGUAGAGUAGAGAGCAGGAAGUAGUAAUCCCAGUCUUAGAUUGGAGGAUGUGGGGAGGCGACUUGCUUCAAUUCGUGAGGCUAAGUGAAAAAAUCAGCACUCUCUCCUAGAUUUUGGUGUUUUACCUCUUCCAAACUGCAGUUAUCUUUUUUUCCUUUCCUUUUUUAAGGGCUGGCCCCGUGGCCGAGUGGUUAAGUUCACGCGCUCCGCUGCAGGCGGCCCAGUGUUUCAUCAGUUCGAAUCCUGGGCGCGGACAUGGCACUGCUCAUCAGACCACGCUGAGGCAGCGUCCCACAUGCCACAACUAGAAGAACCCACAACGAAGAAUACACAACUAUGUACUGGGGGGCUUUGGGGAGAAAAAGGAAAAAAUAAAAUCUUUAAAAAAAAUAAAUAAAUAAAAAAUUAAUAUAGAAUUUUCCAUUUCAAAAUGUGUAGACAUAUUGGUAAUAUCUGGGUAGCUACUUGAUGAGAACAUGUUUUAAACGUAGGUGGGUGGUAGGCUGAGUAAUGGCCCUCCCAAAGACAUCCAGGUCCUAACACUAGAACCUGUGAAGCUAUUAUCUUA
RNAcentral lists this long non-coding RNA (1016 nucleotides) under Equus caballus (horse). RNAcentral's name for it is "lncRNA (ENSECAG00000044445.1)". The record is from RNAcentral. Lineage: Eukaryota; Metazoa; Chordata; Mammalia; Perissodactyla; Equidae.